GAACAUAACCCUCAAGAAUCUAUCAUCCUUUCACCUUACGUUUCUUCCUUUUUAUCCUUUAUUUUCAUUUUAAUCUUUCGCCGCCAUGGCCGACGGUGGCGGCGACACACCCUCUCCGGCAACAUCAUCCAUUCCUUUGGCUUCUACAAUAAUCAAUUUUAAUUUCCAAGGAAUGAGAAAAUAUGGACAUGGAUUUCCAAGUGGUUUAUUCAAUCAUACCAUCACCUAUUUGCAUGGCGAUGUAGGUGAACGGUACGCACUCAUUUUCUCAACUCUAAUUAAGCCCACGUCAUAAUCUUUGUAGUUAUAUUAUAUAUACAUAUAUUUAGCAAAACAUCGUCUAAGCUAUUUUUUCUUUUCAAGGAAAUAGUUUUAUUAUCUUAUGAUUAAAGGAUUUAGGGUUAGAAACAAUUAUUUAGGCGUUAGGGUUUGAGAUAUAAGGUUUGUAUUUAUGUUAGGAACCAGAAAGUAAGAUAUAGUGUUCGUAUGAAUCAUUUUGUUUCUUCCUUAGUGUAGAGAUUGCUGAGAUUAUUUAUCUUUUAAGGGAAAAAAAGAGAAAUCAAAAGAUGAGGAAAAAGGAAGGAUUGUGUAUGGAUAGGGAAAGAAAUGAUAUAGGAUUGUGUUUCUCUAUGAAUUAAAAAGUUAAGACAUUGGUAAUUUGUUGGGGAAGAUUGAGGUUUAGUCAAUAGUAAAAAUAGUGUUUAAAUUAUUCCUUUAUAAGGACAUAUCCUAUUUUGGAUACAAGUAGAAGAAAAAGGGUAGGAUACAAUAAAUUAUAUUUAUGUUAUUAUUGAAAAUAUGACAUACAUAUUUUAAUUUACAUAAAAGAGACAUUUUGGAGAAAUAAGGAAGCAAAAAAAAAAAAAAAAAAAAAAGAGGAAUAUGGAAGGGAAAAAAAUUAGGAGGGAUAAGGAAGGGAAAAAGAAAAAAGAAAAAAAAAUAGGGAGGAAUAAUGAAGGGGAAAAAAAAAAGAAAAAAAAUAGGAGGAAUAAGGAAGGGAAAAAAAAAGAAAAAAAAUAGGAGGAAUAAGGAAGGGGGAAAAAAAGGAGGAAUAAGGAAGGGAAAAAAAAAAGAAAGAAAAUAGGAGGAAUAAGGAAGGGGGAAAAAAAAGGAGGAAUAAGGAAGGGAAAAAAAAAGAAAGAAAAAAUAGGAGGGAAAAAAAAGAAAAGAAAAGAGGGAAAAAAAAGAAAAGAAAAGAGGGAAAAAAAGAAAAGAAAAAGAGGAAUAAGGAAGGGAAAAAAAAAGAAAAGAAAAAGAGGAAUAAGGAAGGGAAAAAAAAGAAAAAAAAAAGAGGAAUAAGGAAGGAAAAAAAAAAGAAAAAAAAAUAGGGAGGAAUAAGGAAGGGGAAAAACAGAAAAAAAAAAUAUAUGGAGGAAUAAGCAAGGGAAAAAAGAGAAAAAAAAUAUGGGGGAAUAAGGAAGGGGAAAAAAAAGAAGAGGAACAAGGAUGGAAAAAAGAAAAAGAAGAAAAAUAAAAUAAAAUAACAUAGAAUAAAAUAUUCUCUAAAUUAUAUAAACUAAAAUAUGUAUGUGUUAUUUUCGGUACAUAAGGUAUUGUAUUUAAGUACAGUACAAGGAAGAAGAAUAUAUUAGUAUUAGGAUUGGGUUGUGGAGAUGUAUAAGAUAUCAAUGUAUUUAUUUAUGUCAAAGUAAUAUCCUUAUUCUUUUAGUCAAUAGAAAUUAUAUACUAUAAGAAUUAUUUAUUUAUAAGGACAUAUCCUAUGUUUUAUAGGAUACAAAAACUCUAUUUAUGUUAGUCUUGAAAAAAGGAUAUGAUACAAAAAAUUAUAUUUAUGUUUGUAUUGAAAAUAUGACAUACAUAUUUUAAUUUACAUAAAAGAAACAUUUUGGAGAAAUAAGGAAGCAAAAAAAAGGGAGGAAUAAGGAAGGGAAAAAGAAAAAAAAAUGAGGAGGUAUAAGGAAGGAAAAAAAUGAGAGAAAAAAACAGGAGGAAUAAGGAAGGAAAAAAAAAAAGAAAAAAAAAUAGGAGGAACAAGGAAGGGAAAAAAGAAAAAAAAAAAAGGAGGAAUAAGGAAGGAAAAAAAAAAGAAAUAAAAUAGGAGAAAUAAGGAAGGUAAAAAUGAAAAGAAAAUAGGAGGAAUAAGGAAGGGGGAAAAAAGAAAUAAAAGAAAAAAAUAGAAGGAAUAAGGAAGGAAAAAAAAGAAAAAAAAAAAAAGAGGAAUAAGGAUGGAAAAAAGAAAAAGAAGAAAAAUAAAAUCAAAUAACAUAGAACAAUAUAUUCUCUAAAUUAUAUAAAUUAAAAUAUGUAUGUGUUAUUUUCAGAUUUUAGGAUUGGAUUGGAGAUAUAUAAGAUAUGUCUAAUGUAUAUUUAUUUAUGUUAAGUACUAGGAAUUCAGAUUUUAGGUUUCACAUGUUUUCUCUUUUCUUUUCUUUUCUUUUAUUUUAUUUUAUUUGUGAAAAGGCUUCCUUCCUAUGACAGAGUUGAGGGAAUGGUAAAAUUCUCUUCAUGUUCUCGAGGUGAAGAAUUUUUUUUUCUUUUCACCCUCUCUAUUUGGAACCAAUUUUUAUUUUUAUAUCUUAUCUUUCUCAUUUAAAUUUUUCAUUCCACAUGAAACCAAAAAGUUUUGUAAUGAAUGUAAAUAUGUUUUUGUAUUUGGAAGGUAAUUGAAAAUUAUAUUAAAUCUAUAACUAAUAAUAUAGGCUUUUAAUUAUGGUUUUAAUUCUAAACUUUUUUUAAAAAGAAAAUUACCUCCAAAUCCUAUAAAAUAAUCCAACAAUGAGGUUCCAAAAAGUGGGUUGACAAAAAUUCUAAUAUAGCCAAAAUUAAUGGAUAGAUUCCACUUAUUUGAAAAAUCAUGACUUCAAUGUUGGAGGAAUGAUAUAUAAAAUAAGACAUUUUUUCAAAAAAAAAAAUCGUUUU
Long non-coding RNA from Cucumis melo (muskmelon), 2880 nucleotides. RefSeq lists it as uncharacterized. The record is from RefSeq and is a predicted model, not a curated record. The transcript has 2 exons. NCBI's taxonomy places the organism in Eukaryota, Viridiplantae, Streptophyta, Magnoliopsida, Cucurbitales, Cucurbitaceae.